UCUAGCUACAGGCUUAACACAUGCAAGUCGAGGGGCAUCAGGAAGAAAGCUUGCUUUCUUUGCUGGCGACCGGCGCACGGGUGAGUAACACGUAUCCAACCUGCCCUUUACUCGGGGAUAGCCUUUCGAAAGAAAGAUUAAUACCCGAUAGCAUAAUGAUUCCGCAUGGUUUCAUUAUUAAAGGAUUCCGGUAAAGGAUGGGGAUGCGUUCCAUUAGGUUGUUGGUGAGGUAACGGCCCACCAAGCCUUCGAUGGAUAGGGGUUCUGAGAGGAAGGUCCCCCACAUUGGAACUGAGACACGGUCCAAACUCCUACGGGAGGCAGCAGUGAGGAAUAUUGGUCAAUGGGCGCUAGCCUGAACCAGCCAAGUAGCGUGAAGGAUGAAGGCUCUAUGGGUCGUAAACUUCUUUUAUAUAAGAAUAAAGUGCAGUAUGUAUACUGUUUUGUAUGUAUUAUAUGAAUAAGGAUCGGCUAACUCCGUGCCAGCAGCCGCGGUAAUACGGAGGAUCCGAGCGUUAUCCGGAUUUAUUGGGUUUAAAGGGAGCGUAGGUGGACUGGUAAGUCAGUUGUGAAAGUUUGCGGCUCAACCGUAAAAUUGCAGUUGAUACUGUCAGUCUUGAGUACAGUAGAGGUGGGCGGAAUUCGUGGUGUAGCGGUGAAAUGCUUAGAUAUCACGAAGAACUCCGAUUGCGAAGGCAGCUCACUGGACUGCAACUGACACUGAUGCUCGAAAGUGUGGGUAUCAAACAGGAUUAGAUACCCUGGUAGUCCACACAGUAAACGAUGAAUACUCGCUGUUUGCGAUAUACAGUAAGCGGCCAAGCGAAAGCAUUAAGUAUUCCACCUGGGAAGUACGCCGGCAACGGUGAAACUCAAAGGAAUUGACGGGGGCCCGCACAAGCGGAGGAACAUGUGGUUUAAUUCGAUGAUACGCGAGGAACCUUACCCGGGCUUAAAUUGCAGUGGAAUGAUGUGGAAACAUGUCAGUGAGCAAUCACCGCUGUGAAGGUGCUGCAUGGUUGUCGUCAGCUCGUGCCGUGAGGUGUCGGCUUAAGUGCCAUAACGAGCGCAACCCUUAUCUUUAGUUACUAACAGGUUAUGCUGAGGACUCUAGAGAGACUGCCGUCGUAAGAUGUGAGGAAGGUGGGGAUGACGUCAAAUCAGCACGGCCCUUACGUCCGGGGCUACACACGUGUUACAAUGGGGGGUACAGAAGGCAGCUAGCGGGUGACCGUAUGCUAAUCCCAAAAUCCUCUCUCAGUUCGGAUCGAAGUCUGCAACCCGACUUCGUGAAGCUGGAUUCGCUAGUAAUCGCGCAUCAGCCACGGCGCGGUGAAUACGUUCCCGGGCCUUGUACACACCGCCCGUCAAGCCAUGGGAGCCGGGGGUACCUGAAGUACGUAACCGCAAGGAUCGUCCUAGGGUAAAACUGGUGACUGG
Molecule: ribosomal RNA, 1440 nt
Filed under: uncultured organism
Description: SSU rRNA
Rfam family: Bacterial small subunit ribosomal RNA
Source: RNAcentral